Molecule: ribosomal RNA, 479 nt
Filed under: uncultured bacterium
Lineage: Bacteria
Description: partial 16S ribosomal RNA
Rfam family: Bacterial small subunit ribosomal RNA
Source: RNAcentral
GAUGAACGCUAGCGGGAGGCCUAACACAUGCAAGCCGAGCGGUAGAGUUUCUUCUGUAACUUGAGAGCGGCGCACGGGUGCGUAACACGUGUGCAACCUACCUUUAUCUGUGGGAUAGCCUUUCGAAAGGAAGAUUAAUACCCCAUAAUAUAAUUAUUUUCAUCAAUUAUUAUUUAAAACUCCGGUGGAUAGUGAUGGGCACGCGCAAGAUUAGAUAGUUGGUGAGGUAACGGCUCACCAAGUCAAUGAUCUUUAGGGGUCCUGAGAGGGAGAUACACCACAAUGGUACUGAGAAACGGACCAGACUACUACGGGAGGCAGCAGUGAGGAAUAGUGGACAAUGGGUGAGAGCCUGAUACAGCCAUCCCGCGUGAAGGAUGACGGUCCUAUGGAUUGUAAACUUCUUUUGUAAAGGGAUAAACCUACCCUCGUGAGGGUAGCUGAAGGUACUGUACGAAUAAGCACCGGCUAACUACGUG